Molecule: long non-coding RNA, 237 nt
Organism: Culex pipiens pallens (northern house mosquito)
Lineage: Eukaryota; Metazoa; Arthropoda; Insecta; Diptera; Culicidae
Exons: 2
Source: RefSeq, a predicted model, not a curated record
CAAAUCUCAGCAAGCCGUGGAGAGAACAACAUAAACAAAACAAAUAAUCGAAUAAAAAAAACUCGUUCCAGUUAGUUCCAAGUUCAGCACGUGAAGGAAUGGCGCUUACAGCUGCAGGAGCCGAGCAGUGAACAGUGCUCGAUCCGGAUGUUUCGCACGAAACUGCACGCAGAAAAAUGUUUUGUAGAAUCAGUCUGUACGAGGUUUGAUUCAACAAAAUAUUUUGUUGAAUAUAAU